GACGAACGCUGGCGGCGUGCUUAACACAUGCAAGUCGAACGAAAAGAGGGAAAGAGCUUGCUCUUUCCGGAAUUGAGUGGCAAACGGGUGAGUAACACGUAAACAACCUGCCUUCAGGAUGGGGACAACAGACGGAAACGACUGCUAAUACCGAAUAAGUUCCAAGAGCCGCAUGGCCCAUGGAAGAAAAGGUGGCCUCUACCUGUAAGCUAUCGCCUGAAGAGGGGUUUGCGUCUGAUUAGCUGGUUGGAGGGGUAACGGCCCACCAAGGCGACGAUCAGUAGCCGGUCGGAGAGGAUGAACGGCCCCACUGGAACUGAGACACGGUCCAGACUACUACGGGAGGCAGCAGUGGGGAAUCUUCCGCAAUGGGCGAAAGCCUGACGGAGCAACGCCGCGGGAGUGAUGACGGCCUUCGGGUUGUAAAACUCUGUGAUCCGGGACGAAAAGGCAGAGUGCGAAGAACAAACUGCAUUGACGGUACCGGAAAAGCAAGCCACGGCUAACUACGUG
This 513-nucleotide ribosomal RNA is filed under the name uncultured bacterium. RNAcentral describes it as "partial 16S ribosomal RNA". It matches the Rfam family "Bacterial small subunit ribosomal RNA", at positions 28 to 507 of the family's 1533-position model. The record is from RNAcentral.